AGUGAACGCUGGCGGUAGGCCUAACACAUGCAAGUCGAACGGCAGCACAGUAAGAGCUUGCUCUUACGGGUGGCGAGUGGCGGACGGGUGAGGAAUACAUCGGAAUCUACUUUUUCGUGGGGGAUAACGUAGGGAAACUUACACUAAUACCGCAUACGACCUACGGGUGAAAGCAGGGGAUCUUCGGACCUUGCGCGAUUGAAUGAGCCGAUGUCGGGUUAGCUAGUUGGCGGGGUAAAGGCCCACCAAGGCGACGAUCCGUAGCUGGUCUGAGAGGAUGAUCAGCCACACUGGAACUGAGACACGGUCCAGACUCCUACGGGAGGCAGCAGUGGGGAAUAUUGGACAAUGGGCGCAAGCCUGAUCCAGCCAUACCGCGUGGGUGAAGAAGGCCUUCGGGUUGUAAAGCCCUUUUGUUGGGAAAGAAAAGCAGCAGGUUAAUACCCCGCUGUUCUGACGGUACCCAAAGAAUAAGCACCGGCUAACUUCGUG
Molecule: ribosomal RNA, 492 nt
Filed under: uncultured bacterium
Lineage: Bacteria
Description: partial 16S ribosomal RNA
Rfam family: Bacterial small subunit ribosomal RNA
Source: RNAcentral